CGAGCCCCUCCCUCCAUUCUUGUCCACCCAACCACCACCGCUUCACCCACACCCCUUAUAUCGUCCAUGGGGCUACCACCCUGACUCCCAGCCCAUGCUGGUAGCGGCCGCGAUGGGUUGUCCUUCUGCCUACUUGUUUGCUGCUCAUCGAGUUUUCCCAUGGUUGAGCCCAUGGGGCCGUGGCGGAGCUGCAACGGUGAUGUGACGAGCUCGUCACCAACCGCCAUCGGGAUGUUGCACCCGUGCCUGUGGCUUGCUGGAACCGCGUGCCUGGUGAGCUGCAACCAUGGUCGUUGUGUUGCAGCGAUGAAUCCGUCAAUGAGCCAUAACCAGCGCCAAUAGAAGCUGGAACUGUGGUGCAAAAUAGCUGCAACCGGUAACAACAGAAGCUGGAACAGGUGAUUCUUUUGCUUCAAACGAUGGGAGUGGUUUGGGGGCGACGGGGGACGGCACAUGUUUUUGCUGCAUCCGGCACCACAAAAGCUACAUCCGGCAACACAGUUUGCUACUCCCUCCGUUCCAUAACAUAAGAACGUUUUUGACACUAGCAGCUCUUUGCGCAGUGCCGACUUUUUUUGCUGGAACCGGCAUCACAUUUGCUACAACCGGUGUUUAUUUUUGCUGGAACCAGUCUCCCAUGUGAAUAUGCAAUCACCGAUGAAGUGCUACAAAGCUUGACAUCCUCGCCGGCGACGCUGUAAAAUGUUGCAACCGGCAAAAACAAAAGCUGGAACCAACAUUCAGUUUGCUGGAAACGGCAAACACGGUAACAACGAACCCCGGCGGCCUUCCUGCGCAAGCAUCGACAACAACAAACGUUGGAUCUAUGUGGGUUAUGGCAGAGGGCACGGGGGGGCUGCAUAGUGGCACCCACCAUCGACGGAGACGACGUGCGACUUUUUCGGUGCCAACGGACGGUGGCCCUUUUUUUCCUGCGAGGAGCAGAAGUGGAGACGAUGCUGCGGGGGGCAAAUCCAACAGGGAAAGCAGGGGGAAGCAGACGAGGGAGGAAGAAGACACAACAGGGGACCAAAUCGAACGGCUGUUAGCGGCUAAAUCGGGUGGCUAGGGACCGACCGGCCGAACUGUUUCGGCCGGCGCACCGGCGCCUAGCACCCGCCCAUUUUUAUGGCAAUUUUAGUCACACAACGAUGCUAAAUUUCAAUGACACAUGGCAAGUUUCUAUUAAAAACAAAUUGAAGCAUGAAAGUUGCCGUACACUAAAUUUACCGUCGAAUUUUUUUGGAGUUAUCAUGUGCCCGUACGUGACGUGUGGCAUUUA
Long non-coding RNA from Triticum dicoccoides, 1282 nucleotides. RefSeq lists it as uncharacterized. Lineage: Eukaryota; Viridiplantae; Streptophyta; Magnoliopsida; Poales; Poaceae. The transcript has 2 exons. The record is from RefSeq and is a predicted model, not a curated record.